UCAGACGAUGCGUCAUGCAUAUCAAUAAGCGGAGGAAAAGAAACUAGCUAGGAUUCCCUCAGUAACGGCGAGUGAAGCGGGAAGAGCUCAAAUUUGAAAUCUUCAAGGUUCUACCUUGACGAAUUGUAGUUUAAAGAAGUGUUUUCUGUUGGAGUUUUGGUAAAAGUUCUUUGGAAUAGGACAUCAUAGAGGGUGAGAAUCCCGUAUUUGACCAUUAUUUCCAGCUUUGUGAUACACUUUCAAAGAGUCGGAUUGUUUGGGAAUGCAGUCCAAAAUGGGUGGUAAAUUUCAUCUAAAGCUAAAUAUUGGCGAGAGACCGAUAGCGAACAAGUACCGUGAGGGUAAGAUGAAAAGAACUUUGAAAAGAGAGUUAAACAGUACGUGAAAUUGUCAAAAGGGAAGCGUUUGACACCAGUGUUGUUUUCCUCGAAAAUCAAUUAAAAAAGGCAGGAUUUUGUGUUGUAUUGACUUCAUCAGCUUUCUGCACUCUUUUCUUGUCUUUUUUUAAUGCACUUUUCGUUUAACAAGUCAACAUCAAUUUCUUUUGUUGUAAAAGGGUCAUUGGAAGGUGGCUUUCUUUUCGGAGAAAGUGUUUAUAGCCUUUGGCCUCUGCAAUCGGAGAGAUUGAGGUCUGCAGCGUAGAUCCUUCGGGGUUAGAUACAUUUGUGCUAAGUUAUAGCCUUUCAUAGACAACUUGUUGACUAUGAUCAGUCACUGUAGCUUACUCGCUUAUGCUAUUUUACCUACGCUUAGGAUGUUGAUCUACAGAGCGAGAGU
This 777-nucleotide ribosomal RNA is filed under the name uncultured Neocallimastigales. Its description in RNAcentral is "partial large subunit ribosomal RNA". It matches the Rfam family "Eukaryotic large subunit ribosomal RNA", at positions 18 to 635 of the family's 3401-position model. Lineage: Eukaryota; Fungi; Neocallimastigomycota; Neocallimastigomycetes; Neocallimastigales. The record is from RNAcentral.